This 460-nucleotide ribosomal RNA is filed under the name uncultured bacterium. RNAcentral's name for it is "partial 16S ribosomal RNA". It matches the Rfam family "Bacterial small subunit ribosomal RNA", at positions 338 to 795 of the family's 1533-position model. The record is from RNAcentral.
CCUACGGGUGGCAGCAGUGAGGAAUAUUGGUCAAUGGACGAGAGUCUGAACCAGCCAAGUAGCGUGAAGGAUGACUGCCCUAUGGGUUGUAAACUUCUUUUAUAAAGGAAUAAAACGAGGCACGUGUGCCUUUUUGCAUGUACUUUAUGAAUAAGGAUCGGCUAACUCCGUGCCAGCAGCCGCGGUAAUACGGAGGAUCCGAGCGUUAUCCGGAUUUAUUUGGUUUAAAGGGAGCGUAGAUGGGUUGUUAAGUCAGUUGUGAAAGUUUGCGGCGCAACCGUAAAAUUGCAAUUGAUACUGGCAGUCUUGAGUACAGUUGAGGUAGGCGGAAUUCGUGGUGUAGCGGUGAAAUGCUUAGAUAUCACAAAGAACCCCGAUUGCGAAGGCAGCUUACUAAACUGUGACUGACAUUGAUGCUCGAAAGUGUGGGUAUCAAACAGGAUUAGAUACCCUUGUAGUC